GCGCUGGCGGCGUGCCUAAUACAUGCAAGUCGAGCGAACGGACGAGAAGCUUGCUUCUCUGAUGUUAGCGGCGGACGGGUGAGUAACACGUGGAUAACCUACCUAUAAGACUGGGAUAACUUCGGGAAACCGGAGCUAAUACCGGAUAAUAUUUUGAACCGCAUGGUUCAAAAGUGAAAGACGGUCUUGCUGUCACUUAUAGAUGGAUCCGCGCUGCAUUAGCUAGUUGGUAAGGUAACGGCUUACCAAGGCAACGAUGCAUAGCCGACCUGAGAGGGUGAUCGGCCACACUGGAACUGAGACACGGUCCAGACUCCUACGGGAGGCAGCAGUAGGGAAUCUUCCGCAAUGGGCGAAAGCCUGACGGAGCAACGCCGCGUGAGUGAUGAAGGUCUUCGGAUCGUAAAACUCUGUUAUUAGGGAAGAACAUAUGUGUAAGUAACUGUGCACAUCUUGACGGUACCUAAUCAGAAAGCCACGGCUAACUACGUGCCAGCAGCCGCGGUAAUACGUAGGUGGCAAGCGUUAUCCGGUAUUAUUGGGCGUAAAGCGCGCGUAGGCGGUUUUUUAAGUCUGAUGUGAAAGCCCACGGCUCAACCGUGGAGGGUCAUUGGAAACUGGAAAACUUGAGUGCAGAAGAGGAAAGUGGAAUUCCAUGUGUAGCGGUGAAAUGCGCAGAGAUAUGGAGGAACACCAGUGGCGAAGGCGACUUUCUGGUCUGUAACUGACGCUGAUGUGCGAAAGCG
RNAcentral lists this ribosomal RNA (746 nucleotides) under uncultured bacterium. RNAcentral's name for it is "bacterial SSU rRNA". It matches the Rfam family "Bacterial small subunit ribosomal RNA", at positions 33 to 761 of the family's 1533-position model. The record is from RNAcentral.